UUCGGAAAGUGUUCGUGUUGACUCGGAGCUUCGCUGACAUGAAGCGCGAUGAGGCGUCCAGAGCCGCGGAGCUGCGCCGGUUUGUCGCCGACACUCUCUCCGCCGCCUCCCGGGAGAUCCUGGCGGCUGUCGACAGGCUCGUGGCCGAGCUGGAGGAGGAGGCUGCCGGCUUCAGGAGGCAGGUCACCCGGCAGCAGAGGCAGCUGGAGGUCCGCUCCGUUGGUGCUAAAUGCAGGAGAAGCUCCAGUCCUGCUGAGGAGAACCUGGAGAACCCGGAGAACCCGGAGAACCUGGACUUGACCUCUCCAUCCAGGUCGUCACCUCCGCGGCGUCGGAACGGGAGAAGGACGUCCGGCACGCGUCGGGACCAGGAGAAGAAGAACCACAUCCAGCUCAGGGUCCGGGUCCUGGACGACCCUCAGACCGCCGUCCUGUCCAGCAGUGUGCUGAAGAGAUGUCCGGUUCGGGAGCUGCGCUGCCGUCCGGACCUGCAGGAGGCCGACUUUGCCCUCCUGCUGAGGACCUCCUUCCCUCAGCUGGCCGCGGGAGACCGAGCCUUCGACGUGCUGACGUCGGACCGCCGCAGGAGGCUGCGGCCGCUGGAGCUGCGGCGUCUGACGCCCGGGGAGAUCCACCGGAGCGCCGGCAGCAGCUCCUGCAGGAGGUGCACCGUCCACAUCCGCCUGAAGGAGGUCCGUCUGCGUCCAUCUGUCCGUCUGCGUCUGUCCGUCUGUCUGCGUCUGUCUGGCAGGGUGAAGGUCUGA
This 764-nucleotide long non-coding RNA is filed under the name Salarias fasciatus (jewelled blenny). Its description in RNAcentral is "lncRNA (ENSSFAG00005014912.1)". The record is from RNAcentral. Lineage: Eukaryota; Metazoa; Chordata; Actinopteri; Blenniiformes; Blenniidae.